Molecule: small RNA, 168 nt
Filed under: Kosakonia sp. AG348
Lineage: Bacteria; Pseudomonadati; Pseudomonadota; Gammaproteobacteria; Enterobacterales; Enterobacteriaceae
Description: IS061 RNA
Source: RNAcentral
GCGCUUAUUUCGCGAAUAAAAAAAUAGAGCCUGCCGACAUCCGUCAGGCUCUACAGUACACACAGCAGCGCAUCCGUUCGUUAUUUUUUGCAUUUUCAUCCUUGCGCGGUAAAUAUAGUUAUAGCGUUCCUUCAUCAUAUUUCCAGUAAGAAUUGGUGAUUGAUUUCA